AAUAACCAAAAAAUGAAGAUAUUUGGCUCUGGCACAAAGCUCAUCGUCACAGAUAAAAACCUUGAUGCAGACGUUUCCCCGAAGCCCACUAUUUUUUUUCCUUCAGUUGCUGAGACAAAUCUCCAUAAGGCUGGAACACAUCUUUGUCUUCUUGAGAAUUUUUUCCCUGAUGUUAUCAAGGUGUAUUGGAAAGAAAAGAACAGCGAUAAGAUCCUGGAAUCCCAGCAGGGAGAUACCAUGAAGAUUAAUGAUACAUAUAUGAAACUUAGCUGGCUAACCGUGCCUGAAACAUCACUGGAUAAAGAGCACCUGUGUGUCGUCAAACACGAGAAUAACAAAGGAGGAGCUGAUCAAGAGAUUCACUUUUCUCCAGUAAAGAAAGCGUAUGCCAGCCCUAGUGGAAACGUGGAUGGAUAG
Propithecus coquereli (Coquerel's sifaka) is the source of this 417-nucleotide non-coding RNA. NCBI's taxonomy places the organism in Eukaryota, Metazoa, Chordata, Mammalia, Primates, Indriidae. The record is from the annotation of a RefSeq genome assembly.